This 253-nucleotide ribosomal RNA is filed under the name uncultured bacterium. Its description in RNAcentral is "partial 16S ribosomal RNA". It matches the Rfam family "Bacterial small subunit ribosomal RNA", at positions 524 to 776 of the family's 1533-position model. The record is from RNAcentral.
UACGAAGGGGGCUAGCGUUGCUCGGAAUCACUGGGCGUAAAGCGCACGUAGGCGGCUUCUUAAGUCAGGGGUGAAAUCCUGGAGCUCAACUCCAGAACUGCCUUUGAUACUGAGGAGCUUGAGUCCGGGAGAGGUGAGUGGAACUGCGAGUGUAGAGGUGAAAUUCGUAGAUAUCUGGAGGAACACCGGUGGCGAAGGCGGCAUCCUGGACCGACACUGACGCUGAUGAGCGAAAGCCAGGGGAGCAAACGGG